GCUGCAGCACAUACCCGUUUUAAAAGGGAAUCCAACAAGAGCGCGUGUGGCUCGUCGAUGCUGCUGAGAGCGAGCACUCAGUUCAUCACACCCAUUUCAGACCUUGCGUUCCAUAUAUAUGUAUGCUUAGUAGGUGAUCAUCGAUAGGUUGCCGAGGCCAGCUAGCUCUUGCGUUGAUUAGGAAGGAAAACGUAGCUAGCCAGCCAGGUUGAUAUUUAGAGUUGAGAGGGUACAGAAAUACAUACAGAGGCCAGUCCAGACCAUAGCGCUAGCUGGCUGAGACGGCCGAGAGGAACGAAGACGAUCUCGAUCCUGAGCUCUGGGCAUGAUGAAGCUCUUGUUCCAGUGUCCCUGCUGCUCCUGCUUCUGCUUCAUGAAGACGGCCAGCAGCAAGACCCAACACGGCGGCGGCAGCGGCAACAAGGAGGGAGCAGCAGCCCACCACCAGCGCACCGGUAAACUGCAAGGAGUAGUGGUAGGCAAGGCCAUGGAGAUGGUGUAGCUUAUCAUGCAUUUGUGUCCAGUCCAGUAUUCAGCCGCUGCUUAUAUAUAGUAGCUAUUCUUCUUUCGCCACCCCCCACCCCCCCACCCACAGGUACCGGCAGCUUGUUCAUGCUCUCCACACCACAUUAUGAUCACUCAUCUGAUCAUCUUGCAUUGUGCGUGCCUUCGGGACAGGUUCUUUAGUAAUCUUGUGUGCUAGCUGCGUCGUUUCUCCAGCACUGCAGUACCUCCCUGCAGGCUGGCUAGUGAACUACUGCUGUAUUAUUAGGAGUUAGGUUCCUCUUAGACUGAGUGGUACCAUCAGCUGCUACUCCACUCAACGGAAGCAUGCAGCACCGCUUGUCUGCAAUCACCCCCCCCCCCUGUUUUGUUUGUUCUUCUAUUUUCUAUUUUUGGCUCGUCCAGUCUCGCCAUA
Zea mays is the source of this 919-nucleotide RNA transcript. RefSeq lists it as uncharacterized. The transcript has a single exon. The record is from RefSeq and is marked validated. Lineage: Eukaryota; Viridiplantae; Streptophyta; Magnoliopsida; Poales; Poaceae.